Molecule: ribosomal RNA, 274 nt
Filed under: uncultured bacterium
Lineage: Bacteria
Description: partial 16S ribosomal RNA
Rfam family: Bacterial small subunit ribosomal RNA
Source: RNAcentral
CUACGGAGGGUGCAAGCGUUAUUCGGAAUCACUGGGCGUAAAGGGUGCGUAGGCGGUUUGAUAAGUCUGAUGUGAAAUCCUAUGGCUUAACCAUAGAACUGCAUUGGAAACUGUCAGACUAGAAUACUGAAGGGGCAGAUGGAAUUAGUGGUGUAGGGGUAAAAUCCGUAGAUAUCACUAGGAAUACCGAAAGCGAAAGCGAUCUGCUGGGAAGUUAUUGACGCUGAGGCACGAAAGCGUGGGGAGCAAACGGGAUUAGAAACCCCAGUAGUCC